Molecule: ribosomal RNA, 253 nt
Filed under: uncultured bacterium
Lineage: Bacteria
Description: partial 16S ribosomal RNA
Rfam family: Bacterial small subunit ribosomal RNA
Source: RNAcentral
UACGGAGGGUGCCAGCGUUGUCCGGAAUUAUUGGGCGUAAAGAGCUCAUAGGCGGUCUGUCACGUCGGAUGUGAAAGCCCGGGGCUUAACCCCGGGUCUGCAUUCGAUACGGGCAGACUAGAGUGUGGUAGGGGAGAUCGGAAUUCCUGGUGUAGCGGUGAAAUGCGCAGAUAUCAGGAGGAACACCGGUGGCGAAGGCGGAUCUCUGGGCCAUUACUGACGCUGAGGAGCGAAAGCGUGGGGAGCGAACAGG